Molecule: ribosomal RNA, 497 nt
Filed under: uncultured bacterium
Lineage: Bacteria
Description: partial 16S ribosomal RNA
Rfam family: Bacterial small subunit ribosomal RNA
Source: RNAcentral
GAUGAACGCUGGCGGCGUGCCUAAUACAUGCAAGUCGAGCGAACAGACGAGGAGCUUGCUCCUCUGACGUUAGCGGCGGACGGGUGAGUAACACGUGGAUAACCUACCUAUAAGACUGGGAUAACUUCGGGAAACCGGAGCUAAUACCGGAUAAUAUAUUGAACCGCAUGGUUCAAUAGUGAAAGACGGUUUUGCUGUCACUUAUAGAUGGAUCCGCGCCGCAUUAGCUAGCUGGUAAGGUAACGGCUUACCAAGGCAACGAUGCGUAGCCGACCUGAGAGGGUGAUCGGCCACACUGGAACUGAGACACGGUCCAGACUCCUACGGGAGGCAGCAGUAGGGAAUCUUCCGCAAUGGGCGAAAGCUUGGCGGAGCAACGCCGCGUGAGUGAUGAAGGUCUUCGGAUCGUAAAACUCUGUUAUUAGGGAAGAACAAAUGUGUAAGUAACUAUGCACGUCUUGACGGUACCUAAUCAGAAAGCCACGGCUAACUACGUG